This 2904-nucleotide ribosomal RNA is filed under the name Escherichia coli HVH 54 (4-2723514). Its description in RNAcentral is "partial 23S ribosomal RNA". It matches the Rfam family "Bacterial large subunit ribosomal RNA". The record is from RNAcentral. Lineage: Bacteria; Pseudomonadati; Pseudomonadota; Gammaproteobacteria; Enterobacterales; Enterobacteriaceae.
GGGUUGUGAGGUUAAGCGACUAAGCGUACACGGUGGAUGCCCUGGCAGUCAGAGGCGAUGAAGGACGUGCUAAUCUGCGAUAAGCGUCGGUGAGGUGAUAUGAACCGUUAUAACCGGCGAUUUCCGAAUGGGGAAACCCAGUGUGUUUCGACACACUAUCAUUAACUGAAUCCAUAGGUUAAUGAGGCGAACCGGGGGAACUGAAACAUCUAAGUACCCCGAGGAAAAGAAAUCAACCGAGAUUCCCCCAGUAGCGGCGAGCGAACGGGGAGGAGCCCAGAGCCUGAAUCAGUGUGUGUGUUAGUGGAAGCGUCUGGAAAGGCGCGCGAUACAGGGUGACAGCCCCGUACACAAAAAUGCACAUAUUGUGAGCUCGAUGAGUAGGGCGGGACACGUGGUAUCCUGUCUGAAUAUGGGGGGACCAUCCUCCAAGGCUAAAUACUCCUGACUGACCGAUAGUGAACCAGUACCGUGAGGGAAAGGCGAAAAGAACCCCGGCGAGGGGAGUGAAAAAGAACCUGAAACCGUGUACGUACAAGCAGUGGGAGCCUCUUUAUGGGGUGACUGCGUACCUUUUGUAUAAUGGGUCAGCGACUUAUAUUCUGUAGCAAGGUUAACCGAAUAGGGGAGUCGAAGGGAAACCGAGUCUUAACUGGGCGUUAAGUUGCAGGGUAUAGACCCGAAACCCGGUGAUCUAGCCAUGGGCAGGUUGAAGGUUGGGUAACACUAACUGGAGGACCGAACCGACUAAUGUUGAAAAAUUAGCGGAUGACUUGUGGCUGGGGGUGAAAGGCCAAUCAAACCGGGAGAUAGCUGGUUCUCCCCGAAAGCUAUUUAGGUAGCGCCUCGUGAAUUCAUCUCCGGGGGUAGAGCACUGUUUCGGCAAGGGGGUCAUCCCGACUUACCAACCCGAUGCAAACUGCGAAUACCGGAGAAUGUUAUCACGGGAGACACACGGCGGGUGCUAACGUCCGUCGUGAAGAGGGAAACAACCCAGACCGCCAGCUAAGGUCCCAAAGUCAUGGUUAAGUGGGAAACGAUGUGGGAAGGCCCAGACAGCCAGGAUGUUGGCUUAGAAGCAGCCAUCAUUUAAAGAAAGCGUAAUAGCUCACUGGUCGAGUCGGCCUGCGCGGAAGAUGUAACGGGGCUAAACCAUGCACCGAAGCUGCGGCAGCGACACUAUGUGUUGUUGGGUAGGGGAGCGUUCUGUAAGCCUGUGAAGGUGGCCUGUGAGGGUUGCUGGAGGUAUCAGAAGUGCGAAUGCUGACAUAAGUAACGAUAAAGCGGGUGAAAAGCCCGCUCGCCGGAAGACCAAGGGUUCCUGUCCAACGUUAAUCGGGGCAGGGUGAGUCGACCCCUAAGGCGAGGCCGAAAGGCGUAGUCGAUGGGAAACAGGUUAAUAUUCCUGUACUUGGUGUUACUGCGAAGGGGGGACGGAGAAGGCUAUGUUGGCCGGGCGACGGUUGUCCCGGUUUAAGCGUGUAGGCUGGUUUUCCAGGCAAAUCCGGAAAACCAAGGCUGAGGCGUGAUGACGAGGCACUACGGUGCUGAAGCGACAAAUGCCCUGCUUCCAGGAAAAGCCUCUAAGCAUCAGGUAACAUCAAAUCGUACCCCAAACCGACACAGGUGGUCAGGUAGAGAAUACCAAGGCGCUUGAGAGAACUCGGGUGAAGGAACUAGGCAAAAUGGUGCCGUAACUUCGGGAGAAGGCACGCUGAUAUGUAGGUGAAGCGACUUGCUCGUGGAGCUGAAAUCAGUCGAAGAUACCAGCUGGCUGCAACUGUUUAUUAAAAACACAGCACUGUGCAAACACGAAAGUGGACGUAUACGGUGUGACGCCUGCCCGGUGCCGGAAGGUUAAUUGAUGGGGUUAGCGGUAACGCGAAGCUCUUGAUCGAAGCCCCGGUAAACGGCGGCCGUAACUAUAACGGUCCUAAGGUAGCGAAAUUCCUUGUCGGGUAAGUUCCGACCUGCACGAAUGGCGUAAUGAUGGCCAGGCUGUCUCCACCCGAGACUCAGUGAAAUUGAACUCGCUGUGAAGAUGCAGUGUACCCGCGGCAAGACGGAAAGACCCCGUGAACCUUUACUAUAGCUUGACACUGAACAUUGAGCCUUGAUGUGUAGGAUAGGUGGGAGGCUUUGAAGUGUGGACGCCAGUCUGCAUGGAGCCGACCUUGAAAUACCACCCUUUAAUGUUUGAUGUUCUAACGUUGGCCCGUAAUCCGGGUUGCGGACAGUGUCUGGUGGGUAGUUUGACUGGGGCGGUCUCCUCCUAAAGAGUAACGGAGGAGCACGAAGGUUGGCUAAUCCUGGUCGGACAUCAGGAGGUUAGUGCAAUGGCAUAAGCCAGCUUGACUGCGAGCGUGACGGCGCGAGCAGGUGCGAAAGCAGGUCAUAGUGAUCCGGUGGUUCUGAAUGGAAGGGCCAUCGCUCAACGGAUAAAAGGUACUCCGGGGAUAACAGGCUGAUACCGCCCAAGAGUUCAUAUCGACGGCGGUGUUUGGCACCUCGAUGUCGGCUCAUCACAUCCUGGGGCUGAAGUAGGUCCCAAGGGUAUGGCUGUUCGCCAUUUAAAGUGGUACGCGAGCUGGGUUUAGAACGUCGUGAGACAGUUCGGUCCCUAUCUGCCGUGGGCGCUGGAGAACUGAGGGGGGCUGCUCCUAGUACGAGAGGACCGGAGUGGACGCAUCACUGGUGUUCGGGUUGUCAUGCCAAUGGCACUGCCCGGUAGCUAAAUGCGGAAGAGAUAAGUGCUGAAAGCAUCUAAGCACGAAACUUGCCCCGAGAUGAGUUCUCCCUGAGACUUAGAGUCUCCUGAAGGAACGUUGAAGACGACGACGUUGAUAGGCCGGGUGUGUAAGCGCAGCGAUGCGUUGAGCUAACCGGUACUAAUGAACCGUGAGG